Molecule: long non-coding RNA, 1652 nt
Organism: Ahaetulla prasina
Lineage: Eukaryota; Metazoa; Chordata; Lepidosauria; Squamata; Colubridae
Exons: 3
Source: RefSeq, a predicted model, not a curated record
UUAAUGGCAUUCUGUAUCUUUAUUAUUAGAAGCCUUAUUAAUUUUAAUACCCCAACGGGAGGCCCAGGAGCCGCACAACAGGGACAGAAGAAAGAAUCCCGGUUCAAAAACUGUAAACCGAAUUUAAAAAGUUCUACGAUGGCCUCAAAGCUAAGGGCAAAAAAACAGUGCCAUCGUGUGGCCCACGCAGGUAUAGCAGCCACCAGGAGAAAUAAACUUUGUUCACAUUAAGGGCAACAGGAGUCUCAGCGGUUACAACACAGGCACAGAAGAAGGAUCCUUCAAGACCCAAACCGAGUCAAAAAGAUCUAUGAUGGUCUCAAUGCGCACGAUGAUACCAAUAAUUAAGAAAGACAAAAAUUUGGAAGAAUGGCAGAUUGAAAUUAAUAAAUUUAUAUGGGAAGGGAAAAAAGCGAGAGUCAGAAUGAAAAUAAUGCAAGAUACACGGGAAAGAGGAGGAUUAAAAAUGCCCAAUUUAAAACUGUAGUAUGAAGCAGUUGUUCUUUCGGUAAUAAGCGAUUGGUUUAAUUUGACGGAGGAAAGGAUUUUGAAUAUAGAAGGUUAUGAUUUAUUAUACGGUUGACAUGCAUAUUUACUGUAUGAUAAAAAAGUAGAUAAAGCUUUUAAGAAUCAUGUGUUGAGAAUUUCUCUUCUGCGUGUCUGGAAAAAAUAUUACUAUAAGUUAAAUUAUAAAAUUCCUAUAUGGGCAAGUCCUCGGCACGCAGUAGAGAAUAUAAAUAUAGAACAGGAACAAGAAAUGAUUACUUAUAAAGAUCUUUUAUAUAAUGAGAGGGGAAAUUUACAACUAAAAUCUUUGGAUACAUUAAAAGAAGAAGGGAGGAAUUAUACUUGGUUUCAAUAUGGACAGUUAAAGGCUAGAUGGAAAGAAGAUCAGAAAAUCGGUAUUAUUCAAAAUGAAGAAAAUUUGGUCAAACAAAUUAGAAAUCAAACCCAGGGGCAUAUAAAGAGAUUGUAUAAUGUGUUGAUAGAAAUAGAUUCUGAAAGAGAUUUAAUAAAGGAUUGUAUGAUAAAACGGGCACAGAAUAUUCAGGAACCAAUAAUGUUGGAAACAUGGGAAAAAAUUUGGGUUAGAAAUGUUAAAUUUACGCAAGCGCAGAAUUUAAGGGAAAAUUUUUAUAAGAUGUUUUAUAGAUGGCAUUUAGAUCCUAAGAAAUUAUCAUGUAUGUAUUCAGAUAUGCAAGCGAAAUGUUGGAGAUGCAAUUGUGAUGAUGCUACAUAUUUUCACGUAUGGUGGACUUGUAAGAAAAUUAAGUCUUUCUGGAUAAGAAUCUGGUGGAUUAUGCAGAAUGUUCUGAAGAAGAAGAUAAAGUUCCUACCGCAAUUUUUCCUUUUGGGAAUAACAACAGACUGUACAGUGAUUGAGACUAAAUUUAUUUUGAAUUUAAUAACAGCAGCAAGACUGUUGAUCGGACAAUAUUGGAAGAAAAAUAGAAGAAUGGAUAUUGAAAGUUUCCAAUUUGGCCGAGAUGGCUAAAAUCUCAGUCUUCUUGAAAGACAGUACUCAAGAAAAAUAUCUAAACGAAUGGAAGAAUUGGAUUGAUUAUAUUCAAAAUAGAUAUCAGAUUAAGGAAUUUCAGAUUGCCUUUGAAUGAAGGACGUUGUUUUUUAUUUUAAUGGAAGAAGUCAGGUUA